RNAcentral lists this ribosomal RNA (406 nucleotides) under uncultured bacterium. RNAcentral describes it as "partial 16S ribosomal RNA". It matches the Rfam family "Bacterial small subunit ribosomal RNA", at positions 30 to 526 of the family's 1533-position model. The record is from RNAcentral.
AUUGAACGCUGGCGGCAGGCCUAACACAUGCAAGUCGAACGAGUGGCGGACGGGUGAGUAAUGUAUGGGAAACUGCCUGGUGGCGGGGGAUAACUACUGGAAACGGUAGCUAAUACCGCAUACCAUCGGAUGUGCCCAGAUGGGAUUAGCUAGUUGGUGGGGUAACGGCUCACCAAGGCGACGAUCCCUAGCUGGUCUGAGAGGAUGACCAGCCACACUGGAACUGAGACACGGUCCAGACGCCUACGGGAGGCAGCAGUGGGGAAUAUUGGACAAUGGGCGCAAGCCUGAUGCAGCCAUGCCGCGUGUAUGAAGAAGGCCUUCGGGUUGUAAAGUACUUUUAGCGGGGAGGCGGUACCUGCAGAAGAAGCACCGGCUAACUCCGUGCCAGCAGCCGCGGUAAUAC